Molecule: long non-coding RNA, 904 nt
Filed under: Gossypium barbadense (sea-island cotton)
Lineage: Eukaryota; Viridiplantae; Streptophyta; Magnoliopsida; Malvales; Malvaceae
Description: long non-coding RNA (GBAR_LNC006144)
Source: RNAcentral
AAAAAACGAAAGAGAAGAGCUCAGGAUGCUCUCCCACUCCUCGGCCUGACCCCCGAUGGCGAUUACGGGCCACCACCUCACACGCCUCACGCGCCACCAUGCACGGUGGUCAGAGGGUUAAAAACCCUCGUCUUUUCAAGGCAGAAACUCAAGUAACUCUUUACCUUUUAAACGUUAUUAGUUUAUGCAAAAACAUUUCAUAUAUACAUGCAUUCAAAAAUAAAGAACACAAUACACGAUUAAAUCACCUUUGUCGAAACUAUUUGGAUUUCUCUGAAUGAAUAUAUGUAGGUAUGUUUUUUAUUCUCCAAAAAUCCGGAUCCUUUUACAUUGUUUGAUUCGGGCUUUUAUAGCCACAGCUGUUGUUACAAAAACUAGGAAAGAAAUCUUUUUAUAUCUUUCCAUAUUUGCUUUGCUUGCUGCUGUGGCUCUUUCCUUCUUUUGCAGGUAUCGAGAAAGAUUUAGCAACGAUGAACAUCGGCGUUGACUCGAGCAUAGACCACGGCAUGAUUCGAAACCUGAAAUCACGGCCUGGAAUCACGGUGUUGAUGGCGCAAGACGAACCGACGCAUUGAUUGCAGUGUUUAACUUCUGGAGCCUUCCAUUUGCGGCGCCUAGGGUUUCUGAAACCCUAGGUCUCUCUGCUGUCUGUUUAACAAAUUGGGCCACUUGGGCCUCGUUUGUUUUUGGGUCUGGGUAUAAACGGGUUUUUAGGUAGUUUAACUGGGUCAUGGGUGUAACGGGUUAUUGGGUUAGUCUACUGUAGUUUAAGUAUUGGGUUAAGUUUGGCUGAUGGUUUAGGUUAAAUUGGGCUACAGAUGUAUUUGGGUCUGCUGGGUAGGGUCACGGGUAGUGCUUUUGAACCAAAAACACUUGGGUUUUGUGAUUGGACUUUUAAAUGAAC